This 315-nucleotide long non-coding RNA is filed under the name Cotesia glomerata. RNAcentral's name for it is "uncharacterized LOC123269334". Lineage: Eukaryota; Metazoa; Arthropoda; Insecta; Hymenoptera; Braconidae. The record is from RNAcentral.
UUCAGACGUUUGAUUUUUACGUCCCUUCCUACUAUUUAUUGUCCUUGAUGUGUCUAAAUACACAUCUUUACCUCCAUUCCGCGGCUGUGGCCGACUUACAGUCUAUACCCGCAUUUGCCUGUGCCCCGCCCCUUAGCACAGUGACCAAGGAAACCACAGAAACCUGGCCAGGGUACAGUCGGCAAGGGAGCAAGUCUUGGAAAUCGCAGAAAAAUUGCGACUGCCAGGGCUUGAACCCACGCCUGAGCGACUGUUGUACGGGCAGUUUAAGACUUAAACCGCUCGGCCACGCAAAAGCACACGACUGAACUUCAG